RNAcentral lists this long non-coding RNA (249 nucleotides) under Salvia miltiorrhiza (redroot sage). Its description in RNAcentral is "long non-coding RNA (SMIL_LNC013919)". The record is from RNAcentral. Lineage: Eukaryota; Viridiplantae; Streptophyta; Magnoliopsida; Lamiales; Lamiaceae.
GGGGGAAGAAGAAGAUAAAAGAAAAGGGUAGGUGUGGAGGGGGUAGGUAGGAUUGAUUUUGACUUUUUUUAAAUAUUUUUAAUAUGUUUUGUUUUAUUUAUUGUUUUUUAUUUUUUGAAUUUUAAAAUUUAGCAUUUUUUUUAAUUCCUUUUAAUUUUUUACCUAAUUUUUAAUUAUUGUAAUAUUUUUAUUUAUUGUAUUGUAUUUAAAUUAAUGUAAUAUAUAUUGUUAAUUUUAAUUAAAUAUUAA